RNAcentral lists this ribosomal RNA (692 nucleotides) under uncultured bacterium. RNAcentral describes it as "bacterial SSU rRNA". It matches the Rfam family "Bacterial small subunit ribosomal RNA", at positions 68 to 734 of the family's 1533-position model. The record is from RNAcentral.
GCUUCUUUUUCCCCGGAGCUUGCUCCACCGGAAAAAGAGGAGUGGCGAACGGGUGAGUAACACGUGGGUAACCUGCCCAUCAGAAGGGGAUAACACUUGGAAACAGGUGCUAAUACCGUAUAACAAUCGAAACCGCAUGGUUUUGAUUUGAAAGGCGCUUUCCGGUGUCGCUGAUGGAUGGACCCGCGGUGCAUUAGCUAGUUGGUGAGGUAACCGCUCACCCAGGGCACGAUGCAUAGCCCACCUGAGAGGGUGAUCGGGCACAUUUGGGACUGAGACACGGCCCCAACUCCUACGGGAGGCAGCAGUAGGGAAUCUUCGGCAAUGGACGAAAGUCUGACCGAGCAACGCCGCGUGAGUGAAGAAGGUUUUCGGAUCGUAAAACUCUGUUGUUAGAGAAGAACAAGGAUGAGAGUAACUGUUCAUCCCUUGACGGUAUCUAACCAGAAAGCCACGGCUAACUACGUGCCAGCAGCCGCGGUAAUACGUAGGUGGCAAGCGUUGUCCGGAUUUAUUGGGCGUAAAGCGAGCGCAGGCGGUUUCUUAAGUCUGAUGUGAAAGCCCCCGGCUCAACCGGGGAGGGUCAUUGGAAACUGGGAGACUUGAGUGCAGAAGAGGAGAGUGGAAUUCCAUGUGUAGCGGUGAAAUGGUAGAUAUAUGGAGGAACCCAGUGGCGAGGCGGCUCUCUGGUC